UACGUAGGGGGCUAGCGUUGCUCGGAAUUAUUGGGCGUAAAGCGCGCGUAGGCGGUUACUUAAGUCGGAUGUGAAAGCCCUCGGCUUAACUGAGGAAGUGCACCCGAAACUGAGUAGCUAGAGUACGAAAGAGGGUCGCGGAAUUCCCGGUGUAGAGGUGAAAUUCGUAGAUAUCGGGAGGAACACCGGUGGCGAAGGCGGCGACCUGGGUCGAGACUGACGCUGAGGCGCGAAAGCGUGGGGAGCAAACAGG
Molecule: ribosomal RNA, 253 nt
Filed under: uncultured bacterium
Lineage: Bacteria
Description: partial 16S ribosomal RNA
Rfam family: Bacterial small subunit ribosomal RNA
Source: RNAcentral